UAGGGAAUUUUCGGCAAUGGGGGGAACCCUGAUCGAGCAACGCCGCGUGAGUGAAGAAGGUUUUCGGAUCGUAAAGCUCUGUUGUUAAGGAAGAACGAGUGUGAGAAUGGAAAGUUCAUGCUGUGACGGUACUUAACCAGAAAGGGACGGCUAACUACGUGCCAGCAGCCGCGGUAAUACGUAGGUCCCGAGCGUUGUCCGGAUUUAUUGGGCGUAAAGCGAGCGCAGGCGGUUAGAAAAGUCUGAUGUGAAAGCCCCCGGCUCAACCGGGGAGGGUUAUUUGAAACUGGUUGACUUAAGUGCAGAAGAGGAGAGUGUAAUUCCUUGAGUAGCGGUGAAAUGCAUAGAUAUAUAGGGGAACACCAGUGGCCAGGGCGACUCUCUGGUCAGUAACUGACGCUGAGGUUCGAAAGCGUGGGUAGCAAACAGG
This 430-nucleotide ribosomal RNA is filed under the name Bacteroidota bacterium. Its description in RNAcentral is "Bacteroidetes bacterium partial 16S ribosomal RNA". It matches the Rfam family "Bacterial small subunit ribosomal RNA", at positions 355 to 776 of the family's 1533-position model. The record is from RNAcentral. Lineage: Bacteria; Pseudomonadati; Bacteroidota.